RNAcentral lists this unclassified non-coding RNA (220 nucleotides) under plant metagenome. RNAcentral's name for it is "partial contains small subunit ribosomal RNA, internal transcribed spacer 1, and 5.8S ribosomal RNA". The record is from RNAcentral.
UAUCCGUAGGUGAACCUGCGGAAGGAUCAUUACAGAGUUCAUGCCCUCACGGGUAGAUCUCCCACCCUUGAAUAUUUAUACCUUAGUUGCUUUGGCAGGCCGUGGAAACACCAUGGGCUCCGGCUUAUGCGUGCCUGCCAGAGGAAACAAACUCUGUUUUUAGUGAUGUCUGAGUACUAUAUAAUAGUUAAAACUUUCAACAACGGAUCUCUUGGUUCUG